RNAcentral lists this ribosomal RNA (443 nucleotides) under uncultured bacterium. Its description in RNAcentral is "partial 16S ribosomal RNA". It matches the Rfam family "Bacterial small subunit ribosomal RNA", at positions 338 to 795 of the family's 1533-position model. The record is from RNAcentral.
CCUACGGGAGGCAGCAGUGGGGAAUACUGGGCAAUGGGCGCAAGCCUGACCCAGCCACGCCGCGUGAAGGUAGAAGGCUUUAGGGUUGUAAACUUCUUUUCUCAGGGACGAAGAAAGUGACGGUACCUGAGGAAUAAGCCACGGCUAACUACGUGCCAGCAGCAGCGGUAAUACGUAGGUGGCAAGCGUUAUUCGGAUUUAAUGGGUGUAAAGGGCGUGUAGGCGGGACUGCAUGUCAGAUGUGAAAACCACGGGCUCAACCUGUGGCCUGCAUUUGAAACUGGCAGACUUGAGUUGGCGAGAAGUACGCGGAAUGCGCGGUGUAGCGGUGAAAUGCAUAGAUAUCGCGCAGAACUCCGAUUGCGAAGGCAGCGUACCGGCGCCAGACUGACGCUGAGGCACGAAAGCGUGGGGAUCGAACAGGAUUAGAUACCCUAGUAGUC